GAUGAACGCUGGCGGCGUGCCUAAUACAUGCAAGUCGAGCGAACGGACGAGAAGCUUGCUUCUCUGGUGUUAGCGGCGGACGGGUGAGUAACACGUGGAUAACCUACCUAUAAGACUGGGAUAACUUCGGGAAACCGGAGCUAAUACCGGAUAAUAUUUUGAACCGCAUGGUUCAAAAGUGAAAGACGGUCUUGCUGUCACUUAUAGAUGGAUCCGCGCUGCAUUAGCUAGUUGGUAAGGUAACAGCUUACCAAGGCAACGAUGCAUAGCCGACCUGAGAGGGUGAUCGGCCACACUGGAACUGAGACACGGUCCAGACUCCUACGGGAGGCAGCAGUAGGGAAUCUUCCGCAAUGGGCGAAAGCCUGACGGAGCAACGCCGCGUGAGUGAUGAAGGUCUUCGGAUCGUAAAACUCUGUUAUUAGGGAAGAACAUAUGUGUAAGUAACUGUGCACAUCUUGACGGUACCUAAUCAGAAAGCCACGGCUAACUACGUG
This 497-nucleotide ribosomal RNA is filed under the name uncultured bacterium. RNAcentral's name for it is "partial 16S ribosomal RNA". It matches the Rfam family "Bacterial small subunit ribosomal RNA", at positions 28 to 507 of the family's 1533-position model. The record is from RNAcentral.